GCGGCAAGACGGAAAGACCCCGUGAACCUUUACUAUAGCUUGACACUGAACAUUGAGCCUUGAUGUGUAGGAUAGGUGGGAGGCUUUGAAGCGUGGACGCCAGUCUGCGUGGAGCCGACCUUGAAAUACCACCCUUUAAUGUUUGAUGUUCUAACGUGGACCCGUAAUCCGGGUUGCGGACAGUGUCUGGUGGGUAGUUUGACUGGGGCGGUCUCCUCCUAAAGAGUAACGGAGGAGCACGAAGGUUGGCUAAUCCUGGUCGGACAUCAGGAGGUUAGUGCAAUGGCAUAAGCCAGCUUGACUGCGAGCGUGACGGCGCGAGCAGGUGCGAAAGCAGGUCAUAGUGAUCCGGUGGUUCUGAAUGGAAGGGCCAUCGCUCAACGGAUAAAAGGUACUCCGGGGAUAACAGGCUGAUACCGCCCAAGAGUUCAUAUCGACGGCGGUGUUUGGCACCUCGAUGUCGGCUCAUCACAUCCUGGGGCUGAAGUAGGUCCCAAGGGUAUGGCUGUUCGCCAUUUAAAGUGGUACGCGAGCUGGGUUUAGAACGUCGUGAGACAGUUCGGUCCCUA
This 569-nucleotide ribosomal RNA is filed under the name Salmonella enterica subsp. enterica. Its description in RNAcentral is "partial 23S ribosomal RNA". It matches the Rfam family "Bacterial large subunit ribosomal RNA", at positions 2072 to 2640 of the family's 2925-position model. The record is from RNAcentral. Lineage: Bacteria; Pseudomonadati; Pseudomonadota; Gammaproteobacteria; Enterobacterales; Enterobacteriaceae.